This is a long non-coding RNA of Hypanus sabinus (Atlantic stingray), 302 nucleotides long. RefSeq lists it as uncharacterized. Lineage: Eukaryota; Metazoa; Chordata; Chondrichthyes; Myliobatiformes; Dasyatidae. The transcript is spliced from 3 exons. The record is from RefSeq and is a predicted model, not a curated record.
ACGACACGUAACAUACUGGAUUGGAAAAUGCGCAGACAGGAAUGUGACCUCUGAUCUUCUGUACGAGUUAAACUAUGAAACGCCCAGCUGCAAUAAGUGCGGAUCGAGUUACCGUUACAGUUGCAAAGGUGUAAACUGAGAGAGUUGCUCGCUGGCGGAGAAAAUGAAGGAGCGGCGCAACGCGGAGCGGUGUUUUGCGGCCUCCAGGCAGCAGUCUGUGCUGCCCCCUCGUGUUCGCCCUGCAGAAGACAAGCUCUGUUAUGGUCGACUGCAGAUUUGCAUAAAUGUGUGUAUAUAUGUGA